UGAGGAAUUUUGCGCAAUGGGGGAAACCCUGACGCAGCAACGCCGCGUGGGUGAAGAAGGCCUUCGGGUCGUAAAGCCCUGUCAGGUGGGAAGAACGGUCCUUGAGCGAACAGUUUCGGGAUUUGACGGUACCACCAGAGGAAGCACCGGCUAACUCCGUGCCAGCAGCCGCGGUAAUACGGAGGGUGCGAGCGUUGUUCGGAAUCAUUGGGCGUAAAGGGCGUGUAGGCGGCCGGGUAAGUCUGAUGUGAAAGCCCGGGGCUCAACCCUGGAAGUGCAUUGGAGACUGCUCGGCUUGAGUACUGGAGAGGAUGGGGGAAUUCCCGGUGUAGAGGUGAAAUUCGUAGAGAUCGGGAGGAAUACCAGUGGCGAAGGCGCCCAUCUGGACGGAUACUGACGCUGAGACGCGAAAGCGUGGGGAGCAAACAGG
Molecule: ribosomal RNA, 430 nt
Filed under: uncultured Syntrophobacteraceae bacterium
Lineage: Bacteria; Pseudomonadati; Thermodesulfobacteriota; Syntrophobacteria; Syntrophobacterales; Syntrophobacteraceae
Description: bacterial SSU rRNA
Rfam family: Bacterial small subunit ribosomal RNA
Source: RNAcentral